AGAGUUUGAUCAUGGCUCAGAAUCAACGCUGGCGGCGUGCCUAACACAUGCAAGUCGAGCGAGAAAAGGGGAGCAAUCCCCUGAGUACAGCGGCGCACGGGUGAGUAACACGUGGGUAAUCUGCCCUGGAGUGGGGAAUAACACCGGGAAACCGGUGCUAAUACCGCAUACGAUCACAGAGUCUGCGGAUUUUGUGAUGAAAGGAGCAAUUCGCUCUAGGAGGAGCCCGCGGCUGAUUAGCUAGUUGGUGAGGUAAUGGCUCACCAAGGCAACGAUCAGUAUCCGGUCUGAGAGGACGGUCGGACACACUGGAACUGAGACACGGUCCAGACUCCUACGGGAGGCAGCAGUGGGGAAUUUUUGGCAAUGGGGGCAACCCUGACCAAGCAACGCCGCGUGGGUGAUGAAGUCUCUUGGGACGUAAAACCCUUUCGACGGGGACGAAACCGCAAGGUUGACGGUACCCGUAGAAGAAGCCCCGGCUAACUCCGUGCCAGCAGCCGCGGUAAUACGGGGGGGGCAAGCGUUGUUCGGAAUUACUGGGCGUAAAGGGCGCGUAGGCGGUGCUCUAAGUCGGAUGUGAAAACUCUGGGCUCAACCCAGAGCCUGCAUCCGAAACUGGAGUGCUAGAGUUCUGGAGGGGGUAGCGGAAUUCCUGGUGUAGCGGUGAAAUGCGUAGAUAUCAGGAGGAACACCGGUGGCGAAGGCGGCUACCUGGACAGAAACUGACGCUGAGGCGCGAAAGCUAGGGGAGCAAACAGGAUUAGAUACCCUAGUAGUCC
Molecule: ribosomal RNA, 782 nt
Filed under: uncultured bacterium
Lineage: Bacteria
Description: bacterial SSU rRNA
Rfam family: Bacterial small subunit ribosomal RNA
Source: RNAcentral